This 253-nucleotide ribosomal RNA is filed under the name uncultured bacterium. Its description in RNAcentral is "partial 16S ribosomal RNA". It matches the Rfam family "Bacterial small subunit ribosomal RNA", at positions 524 to 776 of the family's 1533-position model. The record is from RNAcentral.
UACAGAGGGUGCUAGCGUUGUUCGGAAUCAUUGGGCGUAAAGGGCGUGUAGGCGGUUUGUUAAGUCAUGUGUGAAAUCCCUCGGCUCAACCGGGGAACGACGCAUGAAACUGGCAAGCUAGAGUACCAAAGAGGGGGGUGGAAUUCCCGGUGUAGCGGUGGAAUGCGUAGAUAUCGGGAGGAACACCUGUGGCGAAGGCGGCCCCCUGGUUGGAUACUGACGCUGAUACGCGAAAGCGUGGGGAGCAAACAGG